AGUGAACGCUGGCGGUAGGCCUAACACAUGCAAGUCGAACGGCAGCACAGUAAGAGCUUGCUCUUACGGGUGGCGAGUGGCGGACGGGUGAGGAAUACAUCGGAAUCUACUUUUUCGUGGGGAUAACGUAGGGAAACUUACGCUAAUACCGCAUACGACCUACGGGUGAAAGCAGGGGAUCUUCGGACCUUGCGCGAUUGAAUGAGCCGAUGUCGGAUUAGCUAGUUGGCGGGGUAAAGGCCCACCAAGGCGACGAUCCGUAGCUGGUCUGAGAGGAUGAUCAGCCACACUGGAACUGAGACACGGUCCAGACUCCUACGGGAGGCAGCAGUGGGGAAUAUUGGACAAUGGGCGCAAGCCUGAUCCAGCCAUACCGCGU
RNAcentral lists this ribosomal RNA (379 nucleotides) under uncultured bacterium. RNAcentral describes it as "bacterial SSU rRNA". It matches the Rfam family "Bacterial small subunit ribosomal RNA", at positions 29 to 402 of the family's 1533-position model. The record is from RNAcentral.